AUGGCGACGGCGGUCACCGGUGCAAGUGACCCGUCACCGAUCGUGCAGACAAGGCCAGCGAGCACGGCGGAUGAGACACGGCCCCUGCCUCACGUCGUCCUGCUGGCCAGCCCCGGCAUGGGCCACCUCAUCCCCCUGGCCGAGCUCGCGCGCCGGCUCGCGGUUGACCACGGCUUCGCCGCAACGAUCGUCACGCUCACCAACCUCUCCGACGCGGCCGCCGACGCCGCCGUGCUCUCCUCCAUGCCGGCGUCGGUCUCGACCGCUGUGCUCCCCUCCGUCGCGCUGGACGACCUCCCGCCGGGCGUCGGCUUCGGCACCCUCAUGUUCGAGCUCCUCCGCCGCUCGCUCCCGCACCUCCGCGCGCUCAUGUGCUCGGCGGUCGGCCUCGGCCCCAUCGCCGCGCUCGUGUGCGAUUUCUUCGGCACCGCCGCGCUCCCUCUCGCCGCGGACCUCGGCGUCCCGGGGUACGUCUUCUUCCCCAACAGCUUCACCUUGGUCUCCGUCAUGCGGCGCCUCGCGGAGCUCCACGACGGCGCCGCCCCCGGCGAGUACCGCGACCUCCCGGACACUCUCCGGCUCCCGGGCUGCGUGCCGCUGCGCCACGCCGAGCUGCCCGACGGGUUCCGCGAACGUACCGACCCUGUCUACGCCUACCUCGUCGAGGAGGCGCGGCGGUACGGCCGCGCCGAUGGCUUCUUGGUCAACAGCUUCGAGGAGCUGGAGUCCGCCGUCGCGGAGGCGUUCGACCGGGACGCCGCGGACGGCGCGUUCCCGCCGGUGUAUCCCGUGGGGCCGUUCGUCCGGUCAAGCAGCUCCAACGAAGAAGCCGACGAGCUGGACUGCCUGGGGUGGCUCGACCGGCAGCCGGCGGGAUCAGUGGUGUACGUCUCCUUCGGCAGCGGCGGCGCGCUGACCGUGGAGCAGACGGUCGAGCUCGCCACCGGCCUGGGGACGAGCGGCCACCGGUUCCUCUGGGUGGUGCGCAUGCCAAGCCAUGACGGGAACAACAACGCCUUGGGGGCCGACGGUAGCUACCGGAGCCAGGACGACCCGCUGGCAUGGCUUCCGGAAGGCUUCCUGGAGAGGACGAAGAGCAGGGGCCUCGCCGUGGCCGGGUGGGCGCCGCAGGUGCGCGUGCUGGCGCACCCCGCGACGGCGGGGUUCAUGUCGCACUGCGGGUGGAACUCGACGCUGGAGAGCCUGGCCUCCGGCGUCCCGAUGGUCACCUGGCCGCUGUACGCCGAGCAGAAGAUGAACGCGGCCAUCCUGACGGAGUUGGCAGGGGUGGCACUGCGGCCGGCGGUGAGACGAGAGGACGGCUUCGUGGCGGGCGAGGAGGUCGCGGCGGCCGUCAGGGAGCUCAUGGAAGGGGAGAAGGGAAGAGCGGUGCGCCAGCAAGCCAGGCGGCUUCAGGAGGCAGCGGCACGGGCGUGUACGCCGGAGGGGCCGUCGCGGUGGGCGCUGGAGAAGGUGGCCGGCAAGUGGAUGGCCGGGCUUCGCAACGGGGAUUGA
This 1515-nucleotide ribosomal RNA is filed under the name Triticum aestivum (bread wheat). Its description in RNAcentral is "partial small subunit ribosomal RNA". Lineage: Eukaryota; Viridiplantae; Streptophyta; Magnoliopsida; Poales; Poaceae. The record is from RNAcentral.